AGAGUUUGAUCCUGGCUCAGGACGAACGCUGGCGGCGUGCUUAACACAUGCAAGUGGAGCGACGAACCGGUCUUCGGACCGGGGCAGAGCCCGAACGGGUGAGUAACACGUGGGUUAUCUGCCCCGUUGACAGGGACAACCCGGGGAAACCCGGGCUAAUACCUGAUGUGCCCCUAGGGGGAAAGGAAGCUUCGGCCUCCGCAACGGGAUGAGCCCGCGGCGCAUUAGCUUGUUGGUGGGGUAACGGCCUACCAAGGCGACGAUGCGUAGCUGGUCUGAGAGGACGAUCAGCCACACUGGGACUGAGACACGGCCCAGACUCCUACGGGAGGCAGCAGUGGGGAAUCUUGCGCAAUGCGCGAAAGCGUGACGCAGCAACGCCGCGUGGAGGAAGACGGCCUUCGGGUUGUAAACUCCUUUCAGUUGGGACGAAGCUUCGUCGGUGAAUAGCCGGUUGAAGUGACGGUACCUUUAGAAGAAGCCCCGGCUAACUACGUGCCAGCAGCCGCGGUAAUACGUAGGGGGCAAGCGUUGUCCGGAAUCAUUGGGCGUAAAGCGCGUGUAGGCGGCCUGGUAAGUCCGUUCUGAAAGCCUGGGGCUCAACCUCAGGAGGCGGAUGGAUACUGUCAGGCUCGAGUCCGGAAGAGGCGAGUGGAAUUCCAGGUGUAGCGGUGAAAUGCGCAGAUAUCUGGAGGAACACCAAUGGCGAAGGCAGCUCGCUGGGACGGUACUGACGCUGAGACGCGAAAGCGUGGGGAGCAAACAGGAUUAGAUACCCUAGUAGUCC
This 787-nucleotide ribosomal RNA is filed under the name uncultured bacterium. RNAcentral describes it as "bacterial SSU rRNA". It matches the Rfam family "Bacterial small subunit ribosomal RNA", at positions 8 to 796 of the family's 1533-position model. The record is from RNAcentral.